RNAcentral lists this ribosomal RNA (457 nucleotides) under uncultured bacterium. Its description in RNAcentral is "bacterial SSU rRNA". It matches the Rfam family "Bacterial small subunit ribosomal RNA", at positions 29 to 520 of the family's 1533-position model. The record is from RNAcentral.
AACGAACGCUGGCGGCAUGCCUAACACAUGCAAGUCGAACGGGAUCCUAGCUUGCUAGGUGAGAGUGGCGGACGGGUGAGUAACACGUGGGAAUCUGCCUUUUGGUUCGGGAUAACCGCGGGAAAACUGCGGCUAAUACCGAAUGCCCUCGAGAGAGGAAAGAUUUAUCGCCCAGAAGAGGAGCCCGCGUCCGAUUAGGUAGUUGGUGGGGUAAAGGCCUACCAAGCCGACGAUCGGUAGCUGGUCUGAGAGGAUGAUCAGCCACACUGGGACUGAGAUACGGCCCAGACUCCUACGGGAGGCAGCAGUGGGAAUAUUGGACAAUGGGGGCAACCCUGAUCCAGCAAUGCCGCGUGAGUGAUGAAGGCCUUAGGGUUGUAAAAGUCUCUUUUUGCCAGGGAGAUGAUGACUGUACCUGGAGAAUAAGCCCCGGCUAACUACGUGCCAGCAGCCGCGG